GCCGGGCAUGGUGGUGCAUGUCUGCGGUCCCAGCUCCUUGGGAGGCUGAGGUGGGAGGAUUGCUUGAGCCCGGGAGGUUAAGACUUCAGUGAGCUGAGAUAGUGCCACUGCACUCUAGCCUGGGCAACAGAGCAAGACCCUGUCUCAA
This is a non-coding RNA of Gorilla gorilla gorilla (western lowland gorilla), 148 nucleotides long. It matches the Rfam family "Metazoan signal recognition particle RNA". From Rfam's summary of the family: The signal recognition particle (SRP) is a universally conserved ribonucleoprotein. It is involved in the co-translational targeting of proteins to membranes. NCBI's taxonomy places the organism in Eukaryota, Metazoa, Chordata, Mammalia, Primates, Hominidae. The record is from Rfam.